UACGUAGGGGGCUAGCGUUGUCCGGAAUCAUUGGGCGUAAAGCGCGCGUAGGCGGUCAGGUAAGUCCGGUGUGAAAGUCAAAGGCUCAACCUUUGAAUGCCGCUGGAAACUGCCUGACUUGAGUCCGGUAGGGGCGAGUGGAAUUCCUGGUGUAGCGGUGAAAUGCGCAGAUAUUAGGAGGAAUACCGGUGGCGAAGGCGGCCUUCUGGGCUGGACCUGACACUGAGACGCGAAAGCGUGGGUAGCAAACAGG
This 253-nucleotide ribosomal RNA is filed under the name uncultured bacterium. Its description in RNAcentral is "partial 16S ribosomal RNA". It matches the Rfam family "Bacterial small subunit ribosomal RNA", at positions 524 to 776 of the family's 1533-position model. The record is from RNAcentral.